Silurus meridionalis is the source of this 568-nucleotide long non-coding RNA. RefSeq lists it as uncharacterized. The record is from RefSeq and is a predicted model, not a curated record. The transcript has 4 exons. Lineage: Eukaryota; Metazoa; Chordata; Actinopteri; Siluriformes; Siluridae.
UUCCCUUACUCCUUUCAUACCCUCAUUGUGGAGCUCAUAUCUACAUUAUCAAUUUAAAAGAUAACAUAUCUCAACGAAAAUCAUCACCAUCAGCAGCAGCCAUGUUCUGGCAUUCUCUUCUGCUGGUUCUCCUGGAGCUCUCCUGCCUUCAGUCCAUCACCAUGGGACAGACAUCAGCAAUGUUCUGUCGUUCUCUCCUGUUGGUUCUCCUGGGGCUCUCCUGCCUUCAGUCCAUCACUAAGGCACAGAAUGCAAAAGGGGCAGCAUUGUGCUGUUUUAAGUUUCAAAAUAAACCAAUGAAGGCAGCAAACAUCCGCGCCUUCGAAAAAACAAGAUUCGACUGUACACAUCGUGGAGUCAUUUUUACUACAAAAAAAGGAAUUCCCAUUUGUGUGGACCCUGCGGUGGAUUGGGUGAAACAGAUCAUCAAAAUUAAAACCGAAACUUGUCUUAAGCAUCCGAAUCAAAUUAGAUUAAAAUGGUGUUUGAAUCAAACUGAUGAACAAGACAAAUGUAUAUAUAUAUAUAAUCAAAAUUAUACACCUGUAACUGCUCUGAUUAUAUUUAA